AUGAGUCUUGAGAACAUCGGUAAAAUUUCAAGUCAUUUGGACUUCAUUUACUAUUUUUAUAAAAUACAAAACUGAAAUUGUAUAUUACUACCGAGAGUUUCAGAGAGCAGGGGAAAGAGUCAUUCAUUUCAGUAGCUUCCUGUGUGAUCUAGCUUUCCAAAAUUUUAUGGUAUUAACCUUAUUGUGUUAUCUAGAUAUCCACAAAAUGUGAGCCCA
RNAcentral lists this long non-coding RNA (216 nucleotides) under Salvia miltiorrhiza (redroot sage). RNAcentral describes it as "long non-coding RNA (SMIL_LNC001826)". The record is from RNAcentral. Lineage: Eukaryota; Viridiplantae; Streptophyta; Magnoliopsida; Lamiales; Lamiaceae.